RNAcentral lists this ribosomal RNA (510 nucleotides) under uncultured bacterium. RNAcentral's name for it is "partial 16S ribosomal RNA". It matches the Rfam family "Bacterial small subunit ribosomal RNA", at positions 28 to 507 of the family's 1533-position model. The record is from RNAcentral.
GACGAACGCUGGCGGCGUGCUUAACACAUGCAAGUCGAACGAAGAGCGAUGGAAGCUUGCUUCUAUCACUCUUAGUGGCGAACGGGUGAGUAACGCGUAAUCAACCUGCCCUUCAGAGGGGGACAACAGUUGGAAACGACUGCUAAUACCGCAUACGAUCUAAUCUCGGCAUCGAGGAUAGAUGAAAGGUGGCCUCUACAUGUAAGCUAUCACUGAAGGAGGGGAUUGCGUCUGAUUAGCUAGUUGGAGGGGUAAAGGCCCACCAAGGCGAUGAUCAGUAGCCGGUCUGAGAGGAUGAACGGCCACAUUGGGACUGAGACACGGCCCAGACUCCUACGGGAGGCAGCAGUGGGGAAUCUUCCGCAAUGGACGAAAGUCUGACGGAGCAACGCCGCGUGAGUGAUGACGGCCUUCGGGUUGUAAAGCUCGGUUAAUCGGGACGAAAGACCUUCUUGCGAAUAGUGAGAAGGAUUGACGGUACCGGAAUAGAAAGCCACGGCUAACUACGUG